GCCCCAAAAACAAACAUGUGCCUUUGGAUCCAGCAUAUUACUCUGGACUGUUCAGUGACAUGCGUAGAGUUGUGUAGCUUAAGCCAGUUUGAGCUGGGUUUUCUGUCACUCUCAUCUAAAGGAUUCUGACACAUACAGAUGAACUGACAUGUCCUAUGGCUAGAAUGGAAUGUGAAUCUUGCUAAUCUCGCUACUUCAGAGAAGGCAUGGGGAGGAGAGGUGGCCGAUUUCACUGUAGUCUUGGUUAUGUCUUCAGCCAGUUGGGACUGCUGGGAGAACCGUGUCAUCUUUCUGAGUCCUAGUGUACUUGUACGUCAAAUGAGAGAGGAGUAAUAGCACUGCAGAGCCAAGGAGACUGAUCUUGAAGCCUACUUUAGAAUGUUAUUGGUCAGCGUGGAUAUGGCAGAGGACUUCCAUGAGAGGAGAGGUGACUUGGGUUCCAGCAAG
RNAcentral lists this long non-coding RNA (447 nucleotides) under Homo sapiens (human). Its description in RNAcentral is "HSALNT0052184". The record is from RNAcentral. Lineage: Eukaryota; Metazoa; Chordata; Mammalia; Primates; Hominidae.